This is a long non-coding RNA of Oncorhynchus masou masou (cherry salmon), 1094 nucleotides long. RefSeq lists it as uncharacterized. The record is from RefSeq and is a predicted model, not a curated record. The transcript has 2 exons. Lineage: Eukaryota; Metazoa; Chordata; Actinopteri; Salmoniformes; Salmonidae.
ACCUGGAGUCGAAACUAGCGUCCUGUAGGGAGUUUGUCUAUGAACAGUCUCCUGGUCGCAGUACCCUCUCUGGGGGACAGGGGGCGCCACCCAUCCAGAGAGGCACUUCUUCUGACACACCGUCCACCACCAACGGACUCUACGAGAAAGGAAUGGUGAAGAUGUUAGACUUCGGACCAGGACCCAAAAUUAUUCUGUGAACCUCCGCCCCCCGCCCUAGCCCCACACCUCAUCAACAACUCCCUCCAUAUCUAUCAGGGUCGUGUUCACUAGACACCGAAUGGUGCUAAACGGGGAAGGACUAAUUGAACUUGUCCAAUAAACUGUUCUUUCUUUUUUUUGUGCAAAACCUGUUCUGUUGCAAAACGUUUUGCUGCAGUUAGCUACAGCAUGCACUAAUGAAUGUGUCCCUGCCCAGCACAGUCUCCCUCGGUCACCAGGCUUGUAUCCCAGCUUUCAGCUUUCAAUGGGGUUUCAAUGUGCUAGUGUACAUCUCUCACUCUGGAAUGGAAUGGACCAGAUCACUGGACAUCACGGAAGUGAGUCUAGAGUUGUAGAAUGUCAAUGAGACAGAACCUCACCCUCUAAUGCAAUGGAACGUCACGGAACGUCAGUGUUGACAUCAACUGUUCUAGAGCGCCGUUGAGGAGCUUUGAUGACGUCACGGAUCAACGGUACUCCUUCCUCUGUGCUUUACCCAGGAUGCUUUGCCCUGGGGGGGGGUCUCUUAUCGAGGACUGAGUGAGUCUUCUAGGCGCGGGGCUUAUGGCUCUGGCACUUCCUGUUGGGACCAACCUGUAGCAGACCCAUAUGUGGUCAAAAGUAGUGCACUAUCUAGGGAACAGGGUGCGACCCGUGUCUAUAGGUCUCUGGUUAAAAGUAGUGUACUAUGUAGGGAAUAGGGUGCCAUUUGAGACGUAAUCAGUGUCUCGCUACAGGACGGCACGUGUUUUGUUGUUACAUUUGAUGUGUUCUGUUUUUUGUUCCUUUUGUUGUUUUAUGGAGGAAGAAGUCUUACUGGAACGAACGUUUAUCCACACUAAUGAUGAUUUAAUAUUUAAAAAAUUAUAUAUAUUUUACUUCACUUGAAUACA